GACGAACGCUGGCGGCGUGCUUAACACAUGCAAGUCGAACGCUGAAGACCUGGCUUUUGUUGGGUUGGAUGAGUGGCGAACGGGUGAGUAACACGUGAGUAACCUGCCCUCUUCUUUGGGAUAACGCCCGGAAACGGGUGCUAAUACUGGAUAUUCACUGAUCUUCGCAUGGGGGUUGGUGGAAAGGUUUGUUCUGGUGGGGGAUGGGCUCGCGGCCUAUCAGCUUGUUGGUGGGGUGAUGGCCUACCAAGGCUUUGACGGGUAGCCGGCCUGAGAGGGUGACCGGGCACAUUGGGACUGAGAUACGGCCCAGACUCCGACGGGAGGCAGCAGUGGGGAAUAUUGCACAAUGGGCGAAAGCCUGAUGCAGCGACGCCGCGUGAGGGAUGGAGGCCUUCGGGUUGUAAACCUCUUUCGCUCAUGGUCAAGCCGCAACUGUGGGUUGUGGUGAGGGUAGUGGGUAAAGAAGCGCCGGCUAACUACGUG
Molecule: ribosomal RNA, 486 nt
Filed under: uncultured bacterium
Lineage: Bacteria
Description: partial 16S ribosomal RNA
Rfam family: Bacterial small subunit ribosomal RNA
Source: RNAcentral